UGGAAAAAAUGCUGUUUAUUGGACUAAGUAUACCAUACAAAGGAAAAAAUAAAUAACUGAAAGCCAAUGUUGCAGCAGUGCUGCUGGCAGUCCGUACAGGAGAGAGUGUGUGAGAGAGAAAAAUAUGAUAUGAUACAGGAAGAGAAUGUUAUAAUCAUUAAAAAAGGUAAGCUUUACACUUCAGGAUUACAAAAAUACAGCAGAAUCUCAAUGAAGAAGCACAACGGUAAUUUCAUGGCAGAUCAGAGCUCAUAUGGGAGCCACACCACCACAUUAAAGUCCAAAACUGAAUUAGAGCUGUUUGGCAGUUUGAGGCUGAAAUAUCCUGAUAGACAACACUGACACUAGCCGUACUCUGGGAGCAAAAGUGUUU
This is a long non-coding RNA of Sinocyclocheilus grahami, 373 nucleotides long. RefSeq lists it as uncharacterized. NCBI's taxonomy places the organism in Eukaryota, Metazoa, Chordata, Actinopteri, Cypriniformes, Cyprinidae. The transcript has 3 exons. The record is from RefSeq and is a predicted model, not a curated record.